RNAcentral lists this ribosomal RNA (486 nucleotides) under uncultured fungus. RNAcentral's name for it is "eukaryotic LSU rRNA". The stretch from base 180 to 333 matches the Rfam family "5.8S ribosomal RNA". The record is from RNAcentral. Lineage: Eukaryota; Fungi.
CAUUACAAGUGAGGCUACCGAACGUUGGAAACAGCGGUUAGGAGCUUACACCCACCCGUGUUUACAUACUAUUGUUGCUUUGGCGGGCCGUGGCCUCCACUGCGGGCUCUGCUCGUGUGUGCCCGCCAGAGAACCGAACUCUGAACGUUAGUGAUGUCUGAGUACUAUCUAAUAGUUAAAACUUUCAACAACGGAUCUCUUGGUUCUGGCAUCGAUGAAGAACGCAGCGAAAUGCGAUAAGUAAUGUGAAUUGCAGAAUUCAGUGAAUCAUCGAAUCUUUGAACGCACAUUGCGCCCUGUGGUAUUCCGCAGGGCAUGCCUGUUCGAGCGUCAUUUAACCACUCACGCCUAGCGUGGUAUUGGGGCACGCGGUCUCCGCGGCCCUCAAAAUUAGUGGCGGCGCCGGUGGGCUCUAAGCGUAGUACAUACUCCCGCUAUAGAGUUCCCCCCGGUGGCUCGCCAGAACCCCCAAUUUUUUACAGGUUG